Molecule: long non-coding RNA, 807 nt
Organism: Diabrotica virgifera virgifera (western corn rootworm)
Lineage: Eukaryota; Metazoa; Arthropoda; Insecta; Coleoptera; Chrysomelidae
Exons: 2
Source: RefSeq, a predicted model, not a curated record
AUGGUCGCGUUCACCAGAAUAAUCCGAGUGCAAUCCGAUUAAUUUGCGCUGAAACGCUGACAGUUUUUUUACUAGUGAACGACUGACGUUUGACAUUCGAUUGAGAGUGUUCUGUGUUCCAUUUGUUUAUGUUUUUAUUCUUUGUUUAUAUAAUUUAUAACCUAAACCUAGACAGUUUUGUUUUUAUUUUAAAUAAAACUGAAACUGUCUAAACUAAAAUGGAUAAUAUUCUUGAAGAACUUUUGUUUGGGGACGAAAUUAGCAAAUGCCGUUAUACAUUUAGCAGAUGUACCUACCUCAAAUUAUUCCAGAAGGAUGAGAUGAAAUUAAAUAUAUAUAAACCAUAAUUCAAUAUCCAAUUUAGAGAACAUUUUCGUAUGUCCAGAACUACUUUCCAGGAACUAUUUAAUAGUAUUGGUCAUAUCCACCAAUUUGAAAACAGAAUAAUUCUAUUGGAAAAAAUUAAUGUUUAUGAUGUGGAUGCCAAGUAAACCAGAUAAUUUGUUGCUGGGGAUACGUUUGGUUUGCCAAAGAGCUCUGGACAUAAGAUUUUCACCCAAAUAAUAUAGAAUUACAAAAAAUUGGAAAUAACUAAUCUUGAAUAUCAAUGUGUAUAUUGAGUUUAAUUUUAUUGUAAAUAUUCUAUAAUAUAAUUUUAUUGUAAAUAUUGUAUUAACACAUUUGUGGACACAUUUUCAUAUGCAGACAGUAAUUUCCCUUUGUAAGUACAUGCAUAUAUAGUCGUAUCUGCGAAUGGGUUAAUUGUAAAUCGUAAUCAAUAAAAAUUUUUUGUGAAUCAAUAAAAAA